This 79-nucleotide microRNA precursor is filed under the name Chinchilla lanigera (long-tailed chinchilla). RNAcentral's name for it is "miRNA (ENSCLAG00000018156.1)". Lineage: Eukaryota; Metazoa; Chordata; Mammalia; Rodentia; Chinchillidae. The record is from RNAcentral.
UUUGUGUAUGACAUGUAUGCGAACCUCACAUUUGUCUAUGGUGUGUGUGUGUGCAUGCACACACACAUACACACUCAGG